CAGAUAGGGCUCUGGUGUUACAGAAGAUAAACCAAUCAUACACACUUCCUCCUCAUAGACAUAGAGACAGACAGACCCAUUGAGUAGGUGACAUUUUGAAGACUUUUUGAAAAAGGACAUGGAAAGGGAGAAUCAAGAGAAGAGUAAGUAGAAUGAAGGGGACCAUACUCUUGGCUUAUCUGUUGUUGAUUUGGACCAUGACUGUAGCUAUAGAUUCAGACCCAGUUCAAAUAAACGUGGCAGAAUCCUCGGACAAGAUCACGCUAUCAUGUGUUGAUGGUUUCACUUUUAGCCCUAAUAAUAAAACUACUCUAAUAUUGGAUUACAAGGAUGAAUAAACAGGAGUAUGUAUGCAAAAAAAAACAGAGAGGAAGAUCACAAUAUCUAUGUGAAAUUUCAGACCUGUGAUAAUUGCAUUGAGCUGGAUAUAGCUGCGGCUGUAGGGAUGGUUGUGGGAGACCUGGUGGCCACUGUCCUGAUUGGAGUAGCUGUCUACUACAUCGACUCAAAGCCCAAAGCAACGCUGACCACCGGUAAGAAAACCCCCGAAUAAAAGGUGCAUGGACAGAUCUGAAUACAGCACUCUGCCGUAAAAAUAAAAUGUGCUCAGUGCUACAUUACUUUUACCACCCCUCAGAAUAAUAGUUGUAAAGUAUUGAGAAAUCAGGUCCACAAUGUCCAUGACAAGUCCCUCAACUGGCCAUUUGAUGUACAGAACCAUUGAAUGUACAAGUUCAUGUCAUUCAGAUGUUCGAUGUACAUACAUUUCCUGUUUGCUCAGUUGCUUUGUUGAGUUUGCUCUAGUUUUUUUCAACCUGUGUACAGAUAAUGUUGUUUGAAGAAUUCAGGUGUUUUUGAAUUAGUUUAAAGCUAAGGUCAAAUCUAUGGUGGACAAUAAAGUGGGGGGCUGUCAAUGUUUUGACCCCUAGAUGCACCACAUCUCCCCAAUUAAUUCUUGCCUGUUUUUAAAUUGUAGUGCUUUGUGUUUUAUGUUGUAAUUAUGUCUGAAACAACUAUUUUGGCCAGGUCUCUCUUGGAAAAUAGGUGUUUAAUCUCAGUGAGACUAACCUGGUGAAAUAAAAACAAAUAAAAUAAUGAAAUGGAAAGUUGGUCACAAAAUAACGACUGCAAUUGUAACAAUAAAUAAUGUACUUUUA
This is a long non-coding RNA of Coregonus clupeaformis (lake whitefish), 1157 nucleotides long. RefSeq lists it as uncharacterized. NCBI's taxonomy places the organism in Eukaryota, Metazoa, Chordata, Actinopteri, Salmoniformes, Salmonidae. The record is from RefSeq and is a predicted model, not a curated record. The transcript has 6 exons.